UGAGUAACCUGCCCUUAACUCUGGGAUAAACCUGGGAAACUGGGUCUAAUACCGGAUAUGACUCCUCAUCGCAUGGUGGGGGGUGGAAAGCUUUUUGUGGUUUUGGAUGGACUCGCGGCCUAUCAGCUAGUUGGUGAGGUAACGGCUCACCAAGGCAACGAUGCCUAGCCGACCUGAGAGGGUGAUCGGCCACAUUGGAACUGAGACACGGUCCAGACUCCGUACGGGAGCAG
This 233-nucleotide ribosomal RNA is filed under the name uncultured bacterium. RNAcentral's name for it is "partial 16S ribosomal RNA". It matches the Rfam family "Bacterial small subunit ribosomal RNA", at positions 118 to 347 of the family's 1533-position model. The record is from RNAcentral.